ACAGAGGGUGCGAGCGUUGUUCGGAAUUACUGGGCGUAAAGCGCGCGCAGGCGGCUCUUUAAGUCUGGCGGUGAAAGACCGGGGCUCAACCCCGCGUCAGCCCUGGAUACUGGAGAGCUGGAGACACGUAGAGGCAAGCGGAAUUCCGGGUGUAGCGGUGGGAUGCGUAGAGAUCCGGAAGAACACCGGAGGCGAAGGCGGCCCGCUGGGGUGAGGCUGACGCUGAGGCGCGACAGCGUGGGGAGCAAACAGGA
Molecule: ribosomal RNA, 254 nt
Filed under: uncultured prokaryote
Description: partial 16S ribosomal RNA
Rfam family: Bacterial small subunit ribosomal RNA
Source: RNAcentral